This 561-nucleotide long non-coding RNA is filed under the name Homo sapiens (human). Its description in RNAcentral is "HSALNT0375693". Lineage: Eukaryota; Metazoa; Chordata; Mammalia; Primates; Hominidae. The record is from RNAcentral.
CCUCCUGUGCUAGCCUCUCAAGCAGCUAGGACUACAGUUUUACUUGCUUCCAACAGGAAGGCAAGUUUUCCUCCUUCCAUGACGAUGAAAGGCAGGUAACUCCUUUAUGGAAUUUGAGCUGGCUUCCAACAGGGAAGAUGAGGUUUUUUUUCCUGCCUCUAGAAUAGUAGAGAGCAGUCUACAGCCUGAGACCCAUCACUAGGACACAAUUGAAGAAACUGGUAGUUUUACCAAGGCUUUGACUGGAAUGGUGCACUUUCCUAUAAGGAAUCAAACUUGACUUAAGAAGCCAAUAAAGCCCUUGGAAAAACUGGCCUCAUAUUUUGUGUACACAGUCCGUGUACAGGGUUUCUGGCCUGUGGACAUGAGACUUCACAACCUGCUAAAAAUCUUCGUUCGGGACCUACCUGUCUAGGAAUAAACCAUCCUUGCCAUGAGAGAUCAAAUGAAACCUGAGACCAGAGAUUCAUUUUCUUGUAAAAUGCCUUCUCCAAAAGAUUUUUGAAAAGAAAGGGGGGAAAUAUGAAAGGAAAUUAAAGCUUGGGGCCCCCAAAUCACUAA